Molecule: long non-coding RNA, 1215 nt
Filed under: Salmo salar (Atlantic salmon)
Lineage: Eukaryota; Metazoa; Chordata; Actinopteri; Salmoniformes; Salmonidae
Description: lncRNA (ENSSSAG00000101270.1)
Source: RNAcentral
CAGAAAUGGUUCGAAUAGUUUUUUUUUUACCAUACAUUAUUCUCAUAGGGGAUUUUAGAAACACUUCAAAUAAGGGCUGUGUUUCGUGUAGGCUUACCCUGGGAGGGACAUUUUGAUAACUGUGUAAAUCUCUCUCGAACAAGAACUACAAAUGCCUGUCUCAAGCUUAGCAUCACCCACCAGGGCCAUGAUGAUCUGGACUAGACUGCCGAAACGAGGCAAAGGAACAGGGCACCAUCAAAAGGAGUGAUUUAUGGGGUAGCGUGGAGCAAUUGAAGUUGAAGUCCCCUGGUGUUUGUGACGCCCGCCGUUUGGUGCAAUGCGGACCUGGUGGUGAGCGUGGUGAAACAGAGGAGUCACUGUCAGUACGUUUUAGUUUUGAGUCAGUCUUUACCUGACAAAGUCCUGUUAGGAUGUAUCAGUUAUCCUGUUAGAGCUUGUGUGCUGAAUCCAUAAAACCCCAUUUUAUGUUUAUUCCAUGGCCAACCAUCCCUCUAGCUACCCCUUAUUCUACACUAUGCCUUUCAUGCCCCAUGGUCCCUCAACUUCAGACCCUUUUAACUCUCCAUCUUAUUGCUGUAAACCCACCCUUCCUUCACUUGUUGUUCUCCUGAUUGGAUAACAUCUAGACUAUGUUGUGGUGUACUUUCUUUCACCUAUGUAAUGCUUUCCUCCUUCUGCUUAUUCUGGGGUUCAGACUGAAUGCAGUGGUAAAUGUGCUGCUCACAAUUGAUAGCGGCAACAUGGAGCUUUUACAUUUACCAGAAGGAUGUUGAUAUAGCUGCGUUUAGGCAUGGCUUGCUUGUUUUGAGUCUAUGUGUGUUUCUCAUUCUGCUGGAGUAGUAUUUUAUAUAAAAGCUACCUUACACAUUCAGUUGUUUCUCCAUUUGUAACUCACCGACCAAAAAUGACAAUAUACUGUUUUACAUGGCGUUAUUUGUGCUGGUCUAAUUCCUAAAUAUGGAAAAUCAGAAGAAUCUGUGUGCUCUCUGAUAGUAAUACUAGUUCAUAUGGUGCUCUUCAAUGUCCCAGGUUUGUGGUGUUGAUGGUGAAGAAAUCAUUUCAUCUUUACUUACAUUCAGAUGUUUAUAUGUUAUGUAUAAAAGGCAUAUGUAUGCAUUGUUUACUAUUUAGAUUUCAUUAAAACAAUUGAAUUGUUGGAGUUAAGGUGUUUGACAUGAUUGAUGGGUGACUAGGUGCAUUCUUGUCAAAUAA